AUUGAACGCUGGCGGCAGGCCUAACACAUGCAAGUCGAACGAUAACAGGAAGAAGCUUGCUUCUUUGCUGACGAGUGGCGGACGGGUGAGUAAUGUCUGGGAAACUGCCUGAUGGAGGGGGAUAACUACUGGAAACGGUAGCUAAUACCGCAUAAUGUCGCAAGACCAAAGAGGGGGACCUUCGGGCCUCUUGCCAUCGGAUGUGCCCAGAUGGGAUUAGCUAGUAGGUGGGGUAACGGCUCACCUAGGCGACGAUCCCUAGCUGGUCUGAGAGGAUGACCAGCCACACUGGAACUGAGACACGGUCCAGACUCCUACGGGAGGCAGCAGUGGGGAAUAUUGCACAAAGGGCGCAAGCCUGAUGCAGCUAUGCCGCGUGUAUGAAGAAGGCCUUCGGGUUGUAAAGUACUUUCAGCGGGGAGGAAGGGAGUAAAGUUAAUACCUUUGCUCAUUGACGUUACCCGCAGAAGAAGCACCGGCUAACUCCGUG
Molecule: ribosomal RNA, 490 nt
Filed under: uncultured bacterium
Lineage: Bacteria
Description: partial 16S ribosomal RNA
Rfam family: Bacterial small subunit ribosomal RNA
Source: RNAcentral